GGUCGCCCUCGACGACGGUCGCGUCCGCCACCGACAGGGCGGCCCGGGACUGGAAGCGGGCCACCUGCGGAUCGUGGUCGCUGGCGCCCU
Molecule: transfer RNA, 90 nt
Filed under: Actinoplanes nipponensis
Lineage: Bacteria; Bacillati; Actinomycetota; Actinomycetes; Micromonosporales; Micromonosporaceae
Description: tRNA-Cys
Source: RNAcentral